RNAcentral lists this ribosomal RNA (253 nucleotides) under uncultured bacterium. RNAcentral's name for it is "partial 16S ribosomal RNA". It matches the Rfam family "Bacterial small subunit ribosomal RNA", at positions 524 to 776 of the family's 1533-position model. The record is from RNAcentral.
UACGUAGGGGGCUAGCGUUGUCCGGAAUCAUUGGGCGUAAAGCGCGCGUAGGCGGUCAGGUAAGUCCGGUGUGAAAGUCAUAGGCUCAACCUAUGGAUGCCGCUGGAAACUGCCUGACUUGAGUCCGGAAGGGGCGAGUGGAAUUCCUGGUGUAGCGGUGAAAUGCGCAGAUAUCAGGAGGAACACCAAUGGCGAAGGCAGCUCGCUGGUACGGUACUGACGCUGAGGCGCGAAAGCGUGGGGAGCGAACAGG